GCUCCGGGCCCACCCCCACGCCCUGCGGGGACAGGGGCGCCGCGUGCUGUCUCCGCUGCGCUGCAGGAGGCGCAGUGAGCUUCUGGUCUUCUCAGAACCGCGCCCAGCCACCCGAUCGCGGGAAGCACGGCCCGCCCCGCUCAGAUUUCGGUUCAGGUCCACACACAAUGAGUGCCAUAAUCCGUAGUCCGCACGCACCGACUCCGGUUGGAAGGUUUGGGAGAGGCUACUGCAAGGCUCUUGAGCUUACUCAUGCCUACUAUAUCCGCGUGGUGGAAAUACUACAAUACGAUGUGCUCCUGUGCAUCUCUUUCCGGCUCUGCAUGCGGUGGCCUCACGUUGGUGGCUUAAAAUAGGCCAUGGUGGGAGUACUGACACCACGGAAACCAGCAAAUGCUACAAACCAGGGCAAGGUUUUCAGAGAGCUGGUUGUUAAAUAUCAGCACACCGCCGCCUACAGCAAAAUCUCUGACAAUGAAGGGUGACCCUGGGCCUCCACCUCUUCGCUGGUCAAGGCCUUCUUAUAGCUUCAUCUCUGUUCUGACAGCAGCGCCGCAGGAAGGGGAGAAGGUCAUCAGUAGCCUGUCCUGAGAGCCAGGCUGCAGCCUCUGGAUGGCCUUUGGAGGCACAGUGACUGUGUCCACCAGGCAGUGGGAGGGGACAUAUUCAUUCAUAAUCUGAACUCCCAUGCUGACGCCAGCUGGGUUUAGGAUCAAUGUUUCUUUCCCAUUUGCCUCAUAGGAAUCACCUGGAGAAUUCUCUUUCCGUAGAUGGAGGCUGGGGUCCCUGAGAUCUGAAUUUCAGAAAGCUCAGGGGGAAUGUUCCUGGGAAAUACUGGGCAAAUGAAAGGAGCACUUUUGGGAUUCAAACCUCUGCUUUGCCACUUUUUGUCUAGGUGACCUUGGGCAAGUCACUGAAACUCAUGGAGACUUGGUUUCUUUCUGUAUAGAGGGGGAAAAAUAAAAGCUACUUUGUUUUCAUUGUACUUUUUUAUAAUAUCAA
Long non-coding RNA from Diceros bicornis minor, 1002 nucleotides. RefSeq lists it as uncharacterized. The record is from RefSeq and is a predicted model, not a curated record. NCBI's taxonomy places the organism in Eukaryota, Metazoa, Chordata, Mammalia, Perissodactyla, Rhinocerotidae. The transcript has 3 exons.